GAAAUGCGAUAAGUAAUGCGAAUUGCAGAAUUCAGUGAGUCAUCGAAUCUUUGAACGCACAUUGCGCCCUUUGGCAUUCCGAAGGGCAUGUCUGUCCGAGCGUCAUUAUCAACCGUCAAGCCUGGCUUGGUGUUGGACUGCUUUGUUAUGGUGACCCGUAACAGGUCCGAAAGUUAAUGGCGGUACCGUGUUGGUCCCCGGAUGCAACGAGCUUUAUGCACGCGUCUGAUGGGCCACGGGUUCUGCCCUGUCUCUUUAUUUCUCAGGUUGACCUCGGAUCAGGUAGGAAUACCCGCUGAACUUAA
RNAcentral lists this unclassified non-coding RNA (305 nucleotides) under uncultured Chaetothyriales. RNAcentral's name for it is "sequence contains ITS1". The stretch from base 1 to 105 matches the Rfam family "5.8S ribosomal RNA", at positions 50 to 154 of the family's 154-position model. The record is from RNAcentral. Lineage: Eukaryota; Fungi; Ascomycota; Eurotiomycetes; Chaetothyriales.